RNAcentral lists this unclassified non-coding RNA (271 nucleotides) under air metagenome. Its description in RNAcentral is "partial contains small subunit ribosomal RNA, internal transcribed spacer 1, and 5.8S ribosomal RNA". The stretch from base 1 to 46 matches the Rfam family "Eukaryotic small subunit ribosomal RNA", at positions 1786 to 1831 of the family's 1831-position model. The record is from RNAcentral.
AAGUCGUAACAAGGUUUCCGUAGGUGAACCUGCGGAAGGAUCAUUAUCGAGUUUUUGAACAGGUUGUCGCUGGCCUUUCACGAGGCAUUGUGCACGCCUGGCUCAUCCACUCUUCAACCCCUGUGCACUUACAGUAAGAAAUGGUUGAUGCUGACUUUAACCGGUCGGUUUGAAGCCUUUCUUAUGUUUUACUACAAACGCUUCAGUUAUAGAAUGUUUACUGUGUAUAACACAAUAUAUACAACUUUCAGCAACGGAUCUCUUGGCUCUC